RNAcentral lists this long non-coding RNA (1442 nucleotides) under Oryza sativa (Asian cultivated rice). RNAcentral's name for it is "long non-coding RNA (OSAT_LNC000522)". Lineage: Eukaryota; Viridiplantae; Streptophyta; Magnoliopsida; Poales; Poaceae. The record is from RNAcentral.
UUUCAACUUCAUAUUUGCAUAUUUCACUCCGAAAAACAUUGUGAGACGGACACAAAGGUUUCGAAUAUGUGAUGAGUUCCAUCAAACGCUCAUAUGCAAAUUGACUAUACUGGUAAGAUGGCUUUAUCUUUAUAGAUCUUCAGUGAUAUGUAGGGCCUAUUCAUUUUGAUGACAUUUUCAACCUUAUCAAAUUUUGAUAAAGUUGCCAAGUGGCUACAUUUAGUUUGCUGCCAAAUUUUGGUAACUAUAUAAAAAAUCCUCCCAAAAUUUUGGCAAGUUACCAAAAUUUUGACAACUAUGCCAAAAUUUGUUAAGGUUUUUUUUGGCAUCAAAGUGAACAGGCCCGUAAUUGUCUUAUGGUUUCUUCACUAUCUACCUGUGAUAUUUUUUUUCUUCCUUAUGUUCUCAUUUUGUCCCUUCAAUUUAAUGUUUUUAUUUAGUAGCCAUGAUUGCUGGAAAUAACUCAUGGGAUCUAUUGUUUGCACUCGUAAAUAAACUAGAAGUUACUCCUACUCCUCAGCCUAGAUCCUUGAACAAUAUACGGUAAUGUGACAUAUAAGUAACAUAUUAUAGAAUUGCCUGUGUUUUGAAACUUGUAGUUUCAAAGAGGCGAAUGAAAAAUUAUGCGAUUGUGAUGUUUUAUUGUACACACUUAGGUCGAUAGACAAAUGGCCUAGUGUCUAUUGUUUGUGAUGAUUGUCGCUUGUUUUGGCUUUAACUCUACCAUAUUGAUUUCUAUAUAAUUUUCUUACCAACCGACGAUUGGUGUAUUGAAAUAGUUAGGUUUAAAAUACAAAAUAAAACAAUACAGGAGCUGAAGAAAGGUGAAAUGCAUCCUGUAAAAAAUAUAUUUUUACUAAAAGAUGGUAAGUUUGUCUCUUCAUUUUAUGCACAAUAUCUUUGGCACUACCAAGAACACUGGAAAGUGGAAACUACUAGCACUACGAAGUUUAGAACACUCUGAUCAAGCUCCAAAAUGCACAUCUAAAAUGACCAUAUGGUUCCAUCAGCCUGCACUGAUCCCUUUUGUAGGUAUUGCUAUUUGCUAACCCUGAAACCUGGAGGGGCUAUUUGCUAACUGGCCACGUUUUCAUUUUUUUUUUCUUCCUUUCUCAGCUUUUUGGAAAAAGAGGGGUUUUGUAGUGGGAAGUGGUUCGAGAGGAGCUCAACCAGAGGCGUCCUUAUUCAGCUUUUGCCUAGUGGAAUUCAGAUUAAGAAUUAAGCCAAUUCACCAUCUUUGGUCUGGAGGACUAGAACAAAGCACAGACACAAGUGCACAAAUUGCAGUAGAGGUGCCAAUAAUUGGACGGAAUCGAGGACACUGUUGCCAUACUGCAUAGGUCUGCGAGGUGAUGGAUGGGAUGGGAGAUUUAACCUGAAACUGUGGAUGCUCAAAUUUAUGCACCUUUGAUGUGGCAGGAAGCAGGAUCAACAAUUUUGUG